AGAGUUUGAUCAUGGCUCAGAUUGAACGCUGGCGGCAGGCCUAACACAUGCAAGUCGGACGGUAGCACAGAAGAGCUUGCUCUUCGGGUGACGAGUGGCGGACGGGUGAGUAAUGUCUGGGAAACUGCCUGAUGGAGGGGGAUAAUUACUGGAAACGGUAGCUAAUACCGCAUAACCUCGCAAGAGCAAAGUGGGGGACCUUCGGGCCUCACGCCAUCGGAUGUGCCCAGAUGGGAUUAGCUAGUAGGUGGGGUAACGGCUCACCUAGGCGACGAUCCCUAGCUGGUCUGAGAGGAUGACCAGCCACACUGGAACUGAGACACGGUCCAGACUCCUACGGGAGGCAGCAGUGGGGAAUAUUGCACAAUGGGCGCAAGCCUGAUGCAGCCAUGCCGCGUGUAUGAAGAAGGCCUUCGGGUUGUAAAGUUCUUUCAGCGGGGUGGAAGGCUGUGAGGUUAAUAACCUUACCGAUCGACGUUACCCUUACAAGAAGCUCCGGCUAACUCCGCGCCAGUUGCCGCGGUUCUCCGGAGG
This 534-nucleotide ribosomal RNA is filed under the name uncultured Enterobacter sp. RNAcentral's name for it is "bacterial SSU rRNA". It matches the Rfam family "Bacterial small subunit ribosomal RNA", at positions 8 to 531 of the family's 1533-position model. Lineage: Bacteria; Pseudomonadati; Pseudomonadota; Gammaproteobacteria; Enterobacterales; Enterobacteriaceae. The record is from RNAcentral.